GGCAAAAUUAAAUGUGUGAAAUACUGUAUAAUUCAGCUUUAGUAGUUAAGAUGGUAGCUGAUGUUUGGUACUGGUAGGUUGUACAUCCAGAUACCUAUAUUAAACAAAUCUUCUUUAAAAAUUGAUUUCUAUCUUUAAAACUCUUUUAAAGGUCUUUAGAGCCAGCAAAAAUAAACUAGGCAUAACAAUCUGAAUACUUUACAGGCUGAAGACAGAACUUUAUGGAAUCUAUUCAAACUUGCAGAAAUGUUACAAAAAAACAUAUCAUAGCUUGCUAAGUGCCCUGCAAAGCAAAAAACAAACAUCUUGAACUCUUAAUGUGACAAGUCUUAUUUGAAAUUUUCACAUUCGAAUCUCGAUUCUGGUAUUGCAAAAUACGAGUGGGCUCGCGAGUGGGUGCCAACAACUGUGUAAACGAUUCUUCUUCGGAACACCGCCACGUUUAGUCACCGCAUUAGCGGACUUCACUCCAUUAAAAAGGUCAUUACACCCGCCGUCUUGUGGCCAAAUUAGAAGCUUAAUCUAAGAACUUAAGAGCACAAAUGGCUUACUAUAUUUAUACACUUCGUAUUUUAAGAAAUGGCAAGUUUUAAUUCAUUAUUGAACAUUUCGGUUAAAAUCUUUUUGUAUGAUGGUUUUAUGACUUCUGUGAUGAGAUUUCUCUACUAUUUUGAGUUUGGUUCUAAUAGAGUGUUUUUAUAUACGCUAUUGUUCAUUUCUUUUCAUAUGUUAAAUUCGUCCCAUGUGGACUGUGCUUCCACAUUUUGUGGUACAUCUAGUGUUAAAAACUUAUAGUUCAAUUUUUUUAUAACAUCUCACAUUAGCCACAUUGGACUUUCAAAUACCCAUUAGAGCAGUAAUUCGCCACCUUUAUAUGUUGCGUUUUUUGUUACCAUUUUCUCAUCAAGAUGCUAAUUAUCUAGAAUCAGUCAUGUGAGCAACAAAUUCUUUACUUUUUAUCAUAAAUUGAUGUAUUCUUGAAAAGUUAAUUAACGUUAAAUACAUUUAUAUUGAGUUCUUGGACACGACGUGAGUGAGUUUCAACGUCGAGUAAAUUUAACCCGCAAUAUCCAGUGGUCCGUGAACGGGUAUCAAUUAUUAAUUUAAAUGAGAAAAAAAACUCAUCGGCUAGCUAUACGCCACAUGUCGCGUUCCAUCCGAGGCGAGUAGAAACGAAAACGUACAAAACAGUAGUUCCUUUAUUAAAAUUUCAAGACACAGCUCUCAUCCACGCGUAAAGUCGGACACGGACGCACGAUGGCAUCGCACUAUCGCGAGCGUUUCCACAGAACACAUACGCGGCCCAACUACCGAUGACGCCGCUCCCUGUCGCACUCGCGGCGUGGAGCAGCCGUCUCGCUCUACACGCACGAUCCAUCGCCGGUCGUGGUCCGCUCGUCACGUCCCUCACGGUCGUAUAUCUAGCGCAUAGGAGCUAGAUUGGUGCGUCGAAUAUUCAAAAUAGGGAAGGUAGUAAUGGAUGCGAGUGGCGUGCGCGUGUGUGUGUGCGUGUAGCCGGUCGCCCCUCCCCCUCCGCCCCCGCCGCCACUCGCCGCGGAGGCCGCGCGGCGCGCGUGUGCCCUUCUUGGAGCGACGCGCGGAGCGCGAACACGUCUCGACUUCAAUUGUUUUUUUGUGUUCGAAUUUCGAAACGAACAUUUUACAAGAUUUGGCGCGCACUUUUCAGUCUUGCAACUUCUUAUAAGAUAAAAAUUUUUGAAAGUUUUUUUUUAAUGGAAUUUAAAAAAAAAGUGUUGGUUUUUGGGGAAUUCAGCUGAGCGUAGAGAAAGCGAUGAUGUCCAAUAACUAUAACACUUGUAUCAAAUACGAAGAAAUACUUUUUGAACCUUACGCUGAAAUAGAAGAUACAAUUAAAAAAUAAGGAUUAAAAUAUUUUAUUGUGAAAGUUUAAAUGAAUGAACUUACAAGUGAGUAGCUACUUAGUGCUUCAGUGAUGGAAUCAUGCGAUGCAUGGAAACAAGACUUUGGCGCCCAAACAGUGCCAACGAGGCAAUCGCCGCCAAACGUUGAGAAAUCAAUAAAGAACUCGAGUUUACCAUCCAGUGUGCACUUCACAUGGAGAAAUAAACCGGAUUUUGAUGUGAUGCUGAUUAGAGCUGUCAAAUUAUAAUUUGACUGCAAACAGCCAGUGACAGUUGAAAAAGUGUGGAAAUCUCAGAAUACUGAGUAAGUAAAAAUUGCAACAUUCCUAAGAGCUAGUACUGUUGUCAGCGUAAGUAGGUUUUUAGUAAUUUAUUUAAUUAUAAUAAACCUCUUUGGGGGAUCCUCAAUAUUGAGUCAUGUGGCCGGUAGACUCAUUGUCUUGCGUCGCUCGUGAGUCACGGUAGGCCAUCGGUUCGUUACACAAUGGACGUCUUUGUGUAUUGUCCUAUGAGACCUGGUGUUACGCAUAUUCUUGUACCAUUCAACUUGUAUUUGGGUCAGCGUCACCACUCACCACAUACUUACCUCUUUCCUUUCAUGCAUAUUAAUAGCAGUCACAACACUCACAACUAGUCAUAAAACUUUGAUGUCAGUAGUUUUAUUCACAGUUUAUGGAUACUAUCUUUGUAAGAAGCAUCUUUUUCUAAUCCACCAAUUUUUUUUAUAAUAUAAUAUGAAAUGCAAUAUCUCAUACGGCACGCGUCGGGUCGCCCUCGAACAUUCCAAGUUUGAACUACAAAGGGCAAAAAAACCAAAAAGGGUCUGGCCGAAUAUAAAAGAUACGCGAAAACUCAAUCGGCGCUACCGACAAUAAAGUAUAAAAUCGCCCAAUGCACAUGUAGAAUAAGGAUGUAAACUAUUUUCGAGAGUUUAAAUUUUGAAUUCAGAAUCCCCUAUCUGAGUUGGCGCGUUUCAACUGGUAGGCGGGAAAAGUGGCCGUACGUUUAGAAAUGUCAAAACAAAUUAGUUGUAUUCUAUAUGUUGGUGUGUGCAAAUUCAGUGCUUCUCUAUCUGCACACAUCGCUUCCACGGGUGUGAAAGGGACAGUCGGAUAACAGUUUACGAUGAUCGAAUCCAAUUUAUUGAAUUAUUCCCCCUCUUGGCUUUUAAUGGAUUGGGUUACCUACCUACUCUAGGUAUUAAUAUUAUAAUGCUGUGUGGUUAUCUUGUUUGUUUUCUUCCAAUGGUAGGAAUAUAAAUAUCUAGAUUUGAUACUAAAAUGUAAGAGUCCUAACAAAAACAUCACAUUAAACAUCUAUGUAGGUAUAGUAUUUUUGACGAGAGAAUAAGAACAUCGCACAUGACAGGGCGCAUUUGUUAUCGUUCCCACAAGGGCAGUUACAGAAAUUGCUUUAAAUCAACCAAGUUUCUAAACGGUUGCCAUACCACAAAUCAUCGCAACACGCACCCCACAAAAAGAAACGAAACAAUUCAAAAACCGAACAACCAAUCGCCAUUAGCAGCCAGCUACACCGAUAUCCGAAAAACGCAUAAUUACAGCACUGGCCGCAAAAUCAAACGGAAAAAACAACAAAAAUCGAAUUACGAAAUUGCUUAUGAGUAAUUCAAAUAUCGAAUGAUGCGUCGAGUGGGUGGCGACGCGUUGGUUGAUGGGGUAAAAAUUACCCCCGGGGGUGAUUGGGGCCCUCUCCAACUACAUGGCACCCGAAUACGAGUAGUCUGCGUAUGUUUGUGUGCGUGACGCGAGUAUGUGUGAAUGUGCUAUGUGUUGGCGGAGGGUAUGAUAAUGGCGUAUUUCCGUUCUCGAGUGGUCCCUCUUGCGAAUGCAGCGCCUACUGUGAAAUUCUGCGAUAGCAAGCUCUUCAAAUGAGUUAUAGCGGCCGCUUUUAAAUGUUGCAAAAAACGAUUCCGUAUUAGGUAUUUUGAAGCAACGACCGAAAUAGUAAUAGGGGUGCUAAAAGUACCUCCUGUCUAAAUGUGAAUGUGUGUUGGCUCAGACAAGAAAAAUAUUGCGAAGUGCAUCACAACACAAUACGUUGCCUCAAAAUAGCUUGAAAAUACUUUUAAUAUAUUUCGAUUAUAGUAAGCUAGGAAAACAAUUACCUACUCAAGACCAAAAUUCGUUAUAUGUAAGCAUUUUUAAAGACAUUUUGUUCUACUUAUAACCACGCAGGUAGGUCAAAACAAAACAAGAAACAUGUUGUAACCAAUAAGAGCAGUCUCAAUCUAACCCUAAAACCGGCCGCGGAAAAAGCUCAACUUCACACAUAAUUACGCAAGCGUUAACCCUGCCCUUGGGAGGUUUUUUUUUAAUUGCGGCCAUAAAAUUUGAAUAUGGAAUACCGGGGAAAUGUCCCCAUAAAGCCACGCGAGCAUGCAUCGCCUUUUGGCAAGGCGCUAGUCUUUUUCUCUUGCUAAUGGGCCGUAACAGCGUAGUACUAAAAUUGUUUUUUUUUAUGGAUAGCACCAGUACCAUUUUGAGCCAGUAAUAAAUGCCUGCACGUUUAAUUUGCAAUGCGUCGAGCAUUAUUUGCGCAGUGUCUCAGUGUUGCCAGUAUGUAUAUCGUUAUUUGGAACGGGUUAUAGUUUUUGCCGUGAUAUCGCUCUCGGCGUUUUUGUUUCGAACUAUGUUGAUUCUGUUUUGUUUUAAUAAACAUAAUGAGUUUUAGUUACGUAGCCUACGUAUGGGGUCUAAGCUGCAAGUUGGUUAGUAGAAUCGGACCGCAGUUGUGCACAAAACGACCUGCCAACACGCAUUGCGGUGUCGAAUGCGUAUUUAUGAAGUUUCAGAACGUUACUAGC
Plutella xylostella (diamondback moth) is the source of this 4707-nucleotide long non-coding RNA. RefSeq lists it as uncharacterized. The record is from RefSeq and is a predicted model, not a curated record. NCBI's taxonomy places the organism in Eukaryota, Metazoa, Arthropoda, Insecta, Lepidoptera, Plutellidae.